CGGGCGACAGCUGCUGCGAGGGGGCUGCACCAUGGUCAGUCGGGGCUGCAUUGGACGUCGGGUCCAGUGCAAGGAGCAUGGCGUUGGGGUGCUAUCAUACUACGGUGAUUGCUCACUCGGAAGCGGCGACUGGUGUGGGAUCACCCUUGAUGAACCCGUGGACGGCGGGCAUGACGGCAAGG
Molecule: ribosomal RNA, 182 nt
Filed under: Ochromonas sp. CCMP1393
Lineage: Eukaryota; Chrysophyceae; Chromulinales; Chromulinaceae
Description: partial Bacterial small subunit ribosomal RNA
Source: RNAcentral